This 216-nucleotide ribosomal RNA is filed under the name uncultured bacterium. RNAcentral describes it as "partial 16S ribosomal RNA". It matches the Rfam family "Bacterial small subunit ribosomal RNA", at positions 122 to 334 of the family's 1533-position model. The record is from RNAcentral.
AAACCUAACCCUUUCAAAGUGGGGAAUAACUCGCAGAAAUGCGAGCUAAUACCGCAUGUGGUUGCAGAGUGGCAUCACUUUGCACCUAAAGAUUUAUCGCUUGGAGACGGCCUCGCGGCCUAUUAGCUAGUUGGUGGGGUAAUGGCCUACCAAGGCGAUGAUGGGUAGCUGGUCUGAGAGGACGAUCAGCCACACUGGGACUGAGACACGGCCCAG